Molecule: long non-coding RNA, 2963 nt
Filed under: Prunus persica (peach)
Lineage: Eukaryota; Viridiplantae; Streptophyta; Magnoliopsida; Rosales; Rosaceae
Description: long non-coding RNA (PPER_LNC002146)
Source: RNAcentral
CAGAGGGAAAGCGUUGUUCUUGUUGAGGGCGCUGAAGGGUUUUCGGUACUUCUUCUCCUCCUCCUCCUCUUCAUGUUGCCUCUUCUGCUUUGCCAGUUCAAGCAUCAAAACGCAUCCAUUUGCAAAGCUUCUCUCGGAAUCACUAUAAACACGCAAGCCUUGGCUUUCUAAACUCAUAAAGGUGAUGAACGCACCGAUAAUGGGUAAGCCUCUCUUUCCCGCUCUUGAUAGUUCACUUCGAAUUGAAGAAUUUGCUUUUUAUUUUCCUUGAAUGGGUUUUGGAAUAAAAUCAAAUUAAAGUAUGCAAUUCAUUAAUUAUAAAUUGUAUUUGGGGAAGACCCAUUGCCAGGAGAUUUCCCAGAAGUGUAGAGGAGUAUUUGGAACAUGGGGUUAUGAAAUGCAUUGCCAUCCCCAUAAGAUGUUUUUUCAAAACUUUUUUUUCCAUUAGAAAUUAAGUGCUUUGGGCAAUGUGGCUAUGUGGUAUUUCGAAAGUUGUGAUUUUCUGUUUAGAUUUCUUUUAGUUUUGUCCUGCUGUUUAUUAUGGGGUCCUUUUUGCUGAAUUAAUUGCUUAUCAAAAUUAAAAGGAAGGCUGUAAAUUUGGUUGCACAUUGGGGUAUAGAAACACCAUUGCCAGUUUAUACAGCACUCACUUGUUCUUCUUCCACAAUUUGUACUUUUGAAACUAAUAUAUAAGGAGUUGAAUCCACAAUUUGUAACAAAGUGGAAUUGCUAGCUAUUCCAGAAAAAUUAAAGAAUAGGUCAAUUAGUUGGAAUUUUUUUACGGUUUCGUUUUCAGUUAGGUCUCUGCGUUAAUACCCUACAUGAGCCUUACUUUUAACUAAUUGGUUCUUUAAUUUCUCCUUUACACUUUUAUUGAAGAACACAUAAACUACGGGCAUUUCUUAUUAAUCGUCUUGCUAGCCAAGGAUAUAAACGAAACCCCAUUUACAUAGAUUUCUCCUGGAGAUAGGUAGGUUUGACAUAUCUGUAAUCAAAUGAGAAAAAGAUAUUGGCCGGGCUUAGUUCAUGGUUUUUCCAGAGGACCAUAAGCUGUAGGAAGCAGAAGCCCCAAGUGCCAGAAGAACAAGAACAGCUGCUCCCAUAUUGAUCAACAUCUGCUUCUCUUCAUCAUUCACCCCCUCUCCUAGAUUUCUCAUGCCCUCCUUUGCAGCAGCCAUCACAUUUGCAGCAAUGGAAUCCUCCUCUGUAUGCUUCUCUCGGUCAACAGCGCUCCCAGAACUCUUGCUCUUUCUCUUUGCCUUUUCUAAAAUCUUUGGGACAGCCCCUGCUUCUUUGCUUCUCUCAUUGGCCUCUCUUUCCUUCUGCAGACUGGUUUCAGCAACUCUCUCAGCAUUCUUUGGUUCUGCAGGCUUCCCACUCUGACCCUUUGGAUCAACAUGCUCAGCAGUAAACUCCAAGCUCUUUUCGUCAAUUAUUUUUGGAGGAAUUUCAUCCUUACCCCUUUGUGACUUAGGUUCACUUAUGCCUCCUUCAGGACUAGUCAAAGGUAUCACCCUCUUCUCAUCCCUUUGUUUCUCAUUCUGGAUUGCUGAAAUUGCUUUUGGAAGAGCCUCAUCCUUAUCCUUGUGUACUUUUGUCUCAGCAACGCUUUUCGGAAGGCCUAAUGGAUGACCACCAUUCUUGUCAUCCCUUUCUUUUUCAUCUCUGGCACUAAAAGUAGAGUUUUGUGCCUUUGGCUCAGCAGCAGCUUCCUGGGGGCCUGCAGCUGGAGGAGCACUUCUCUUAUCCCUUUGCUUUUCAUCUUGAGCAGCAGAGGUAGCUGCUUGUGAAAUGACUUCCUGACCCUUUUGUGCCUUUGGCUCAGAAGAGCUAAUUUUCUGAGGGCCUGCAGUUGCUGUCAAACCAGGUUUUGACGGAAUUAGGUCCUCUGGCAGUUUCGGUGGCUUUGCCUCAGCAGCAGAAGCAGUUGGAGUUUUUGAAGAGGUAGGUGGUGCUUGUUGGCUUGGUUUGGCUGCUUCUUUAGGGCCUACUUGAGUGAUGCCUAGCUUUGGUAUUGUAAUGGUAAGAAUUUGAUUGUUGAAUUUGCCAUGAAUUUUACUCACGUCGCAAUUUUCUUGAAUAGGGAAGGUUUGGUUGAAACGGCUCCAUUUGUUAUUCCCAAGAGGCCGUUGUCCAUCAACCUUAAUUACACCAGGGGAAGCCGCAAAUGUAAUCCUUACUUGCUCCUUCACAAAACCUGAAAACACAAACAAAUUGAAAGUGACAUAUAACGUAACAUGUAUAGGAAUUUUAUGCUAGUAGCUUCGCAAAAUUAUAGGUUCCUCUUUAAAAUACAAAAUUCUCCUAUAAUCUUACAUCUUGUGGGUGCAUCUAAAUUCUUCUUUAUGAAUGUAUCUGAAUCAAUAUGAAUCAAACAAGUGUUCCAACGUAACAAAGUACACACAAAAGCAUUGAAACAUUUUUCGCUAUUAGCUUUUGGAAACUUAACUUUUUGAACUUCUGCUAGUUUUGACAAAAACCUGUUUUUUUUUUUUUUUUUUUCACAAGGCAAUAUUCUAAACUACUUUAAUGUAUUGGGAGGGGGAUCUAACUUGGUUUAGGGGGCGGGAACGUUACCUUUUCCAACUGACCUAACCCAUAUCUACCCAUGAAUAUUGUGUAUUCUUAUUUACAAAAUGAGUGAUAAAGUUGGGUAAAGUACAGACCAGGCAGAUGAACAUGUAUAACGUGAGCUUCCUGCUCUUCCUUCAAUUCAAAGUGGGGCUUGAACUCUUCAUAAAUUGAACGAGACGAUAGUCUUGGACGGGUACUAGAGAUUCCACCAAAACGUUGCCUCAUUGCCAUCUCUCUCUCUCUCUCUCUCUCUCUCUCUCUCUCUCUUGCCUUUUGUUGAUUUGAUUUUCUUGUAUACCUUAUGAUUGCCUUUGGAUUGUAGAAAAAUGUUGGCCAUGUGUCACAUUUUAUAUAUGCAACAAUGUUUGAGACUAGUGUGUUGAUUGUUU